This 248-nucleotide ribosomal RNA is filed under the name uncultured euryarchaeote. Its description in RNAcentral is "partial 16S ribosomal RNA". It matches the Rfam family "Archaeal small subunit ribosomal RNA", at positions 478 to 726 of the family's 1478-position model. The record is from RNAcentral. Lineage: Archaea; Methanobacteriati; Methanobacteriota.
UGCAGCUCAAGUGGUGGCCGCUAUUAUUGGGCCUAAAACGUCCGUAGCCGGUUCUAUAAAUGCCUGGGUAAAUCGUACGGCUUAACCGUACGAAUUCCGGGUAGACUGUUCAACUUGGGACCGGGAGAGGCUAGAGGUACUCCUGGGGUAGAGGUGAAAUUCUGUAAUCCUAGGGGGACCACCAGUGGCGAAGGCGUCUAGCUAGAACGGGUCUGACGGUGAGGGACGAAGCCCUGGGGCGCAAACGG